CUGGCAGGUGUGAAUUGGCAUAUCUCUGCUGAAAUCACAGAACUGCUGUGUUACAUCAGUUUGAGAGUCUGGACCUAUUUCCUGAGCUAUUUUUGUCUUGCCCCUAAAAUCAAUUCCUUGAAGGCUAAGACAACUGAAGAAAGGAAAUGACUCCCUACUACUGGGAUAUCAGCUAUCACAUAGGAUCUUGUCCAGUCUAAGACAUUUAGGUUCUACUCUAUUGUAAAUUAUAAAACAUAAGUAUAUAAUGUGAAAAAUGUAGGAAAUGAAACAAAUAAAAAAAAUAUUACAUGACUUCAAAACUACAGUUCAGUGACUUUUCUUCAGUUUGGACUAUUUCAAAUAAUCUGGAGGUUCAGCAAUCAAUGCUGCUUUUGAGGUUCUUAUCAGCUGAAUGAAUUUAGUAAAGUACAAGACAAAAUUAUUGAUUGCGUUGCUUCAGAAGCUACUGGAAACCUGGUCAGAGGCUUGAAUGUCACCUGAAAAUGAAACUUGGCUUUUAUAAUCUGAUUUAGGGCUUGAAAUAUUUUAGUUUGUGUGUCUUGCAUUUAAU
Molecule: long non-coding RNA, 553 nt
Filed under: Anser brachyrhynchus (Pink-footed goose)
Lineage: Eukaryota; Metazoa; Chordata; Aves; Anseriformes; Anatidae
Description: lncRNA (ENSABRG00000015980.1)
Source: RNAcentral